Molecule: ribosomal RNA, 264 nt
Filed under: uncultured bacterium
Lineage: Bacteria
Description: partial 16S ribosomal RNA
Rfam family: Bacterial small subunit ribosomal RNA
Source: RNAcentral
GUCCACGCCGUAAACGGUGGAUGCUGGAUGUGGGGCCCGUUCCACGGGUUCCGUGUCGGAGCUAACGCGUUAAGCAUCCCGCCUGGGGAGUACGGCCGCAAGGCUAAAACUCAAAGAAAUUGACGGGGGCCCGCACAAGCGGCGGAGCAUGCGGAUUAAUUCGAUGCAACGCGAAGAACCUUACCUGGGCUUGACAUGUUCCCGACAGCCGUAGAGAUGCGGCCUCCCUUCGGGGCGGGUUCACAGGUGGUGCAUGGUCGUCGU